CUGGCUUUUAAUGGCCAAAGGUAUAGAUGUGUGUGUCCAAGUUAAGGCUGCCUUCUUUUAAUAGAUUGCUCAUAGAUUGAUUAGUUAUGUCUACAAGACUGGAGGGGAGCUGUUGGCUUGCUUUGGUCAUUCUGGAUGAAGCUGCCAUCACUGCUACAUCGUGUCCGGCUAUCUUCAUUCAUAUCUCCCCUUUCCUAGGAAACAGAAAAAAAGGGGCUCACUAUCAACCUGAUAAGUUUGAAAGAAGAUUGGUGAUUCAAGGGAUAGUUUCAAGCUCGCGACUCACCUUUAACAUCUGAUCUGAAGACAUCUGGCAACUAAACAGCAGUGGCUUCAGCUGCAGACGGUCUCUCCUCUUGUGGACCAGUGCACUGAUGCUGACUUUACAUGAUGUAAAAGUCUUCACA
Molecule: long non-coding RNA, 407 nt
Organism: Entelurus aequoreus (snake pipefish)
Lineage: Eukaryota; Metazoa; Chordata; Actinopteri; Syngnathiformes; Syngnathidae
Exons: 3
Source: RefSeq, a predicted model, not a curated record